GCCCUGCUUGAUUUCCUGUCCUGACUUCCUUUGAUGAUGGAUUGUGAUGUGGAAGUGGAAAGUGCUGUGGGUGAGGAUGACUGAAGAAGAGGAAGGUCAAGCCAGCACCGACCUCCACCAAGGACUCCGGACUGUGGACUGUUGACGUGGGAGAGACAGGCCCCGCUCAGCCUUGGUCUGGCUCUGGUCCACCGUGGGGAGGAAAUGGUUUUCACUAAAAAACAAAGUUGAAAAACAGUUUGCUGAAAGGGAAUGAAAGAGGAAAGGGGGAAGGAAGGGGAGGGGAGGGCCGGCUCAAACUGUCUGCUCAUCAGAAUCACCUGGGUACGCUGCUAAAAACACAGAUUCCAAAGUCUGUGCCAAGUCAGUAAAAUGUUAUUCUUGGUA
Molecule: long non-coding RNA, 387 nt
Filed under: Mus musculus (house mouse)
Lineage: Eukaryota; Metazoa; Chordata; Mammalia; Rodentia; Muridae
Description: predicted gene, 49967
Source: RNAcentral